This 264-nucleotide long non-coding RNA is filed under the name Phasianus colchicus (ring-necked pheasant). RNAcentral describes it as "lncRNA (ENSPCLG00000003041.1)". The record is from RNAcentral. Lineage: Eukaryota; Metazoa; Chordata; Aves; Galliformes; Phasianidae.
GAGGACUAAGCUUCAGUUUGUUGAUUGAGUGCAAAGCAUCAUGUAUGCAAUAGGAAGGAAAGAUUCUGAAUACAGAAGACUGAACUCCUCCCCACCUCCAACCUACAUCCUUGAAUGCACCGAAGCCUUAUAACCAUGCAGUCUAGGACAAGUCCUGCAGAACAGGUGGCAACUCUGCUUUCAUAGAAUCAUAGGACUAUAAAAAUCUCAAGUUGGAAGGGAUCCCCAAGGAUUGUUGAAUCCAGCUCCUGGCUCCACACAGGA